Molecule: long non-coding RNA, 1274 nt
Organism: Capsicum annuum
Lineage: Eukaryota; Viridiplantae; Streptophyta; Magnoliopsida; Solanales; Solanaceae
Exons: 3
Source: RefSeq, a predicted model, not a curated record
UAUUAUAAAUUGUGAAAUAGGUUUGAGAGCAUGAAUUGUAAGUUCCCCUUUUGAAUAUGAACUUAUUUAACUCUUUUACUAUGAACUGAGCACUACCUGUUGUAAAUGUGAAUAUUGGUAAUUUUGAUCCAUAACACAAAUGGUUUCGUUAAUUGGUUGUUUGCUAUUAAUUUUCAAGCGAUAGUAUUAUGAUAGGUUGAAAUGGGUAGGCAAAUGAUAGGUUGGUUAGACAAAUUUAAGAACUGUGGAUUAUUGAAUUCUUGAAUGUUUUGUUAAAUGAUUUUUGUUUCAACACAUUUAAAAUCAAUUGUACUCAUUUGAUCCGGGAAUGCACCAAGGUUAUCUGAAUUGAUUUAUUUGGGAAAUGCCCCGAGAGAGUUGUAGUUGAAGACGGUCGUCAGAAGCUGCUAAAAAAGAAUUGGAUUCUGUUUAGGGUUGACGACAUUCGUGAUAGGCUAUCACAAUUGUGACGGCUUGUCAAGAAUGUCAUCAAAAGUUGUUCACUUCUCAAAACCAAGCACAUUUUCAAGGACAUGUGCUGCCUCGAGGAUAUUAUUCUUCAAUUCAACAAAAUGCUCGCUAAAUUUAUUAGCAAUAUACGCCUUUGUUGUGACGUAAAAUAGAUAAAGAUGUUCUCCACAGUGCUGAUUUACACCCAGAUUUUCAGUGAGGUACCUCAUGCAAAGUCCAUGGUGUGCAUGACUGUAAACACUAGAGAAGGCAAUGGCAAUGCUGAUGUACCUGUCGGAGAUGACACAUAGAUUUGGUUCAUCUUCUACGAUAGACUUCAACUUCUGGAAGAAGAAGGUCCAAGAAGCAUCAUUCUCUUUAUUGACGACACAAAAGGCAAUUGGAAAGAUGUGAUUUUCUGUGUCCUGUGCAACUGCACUCAGCAACACGCCCCUGUACUUUUCAUGAAGAACACAACAAAGACAAGUCUAGAAAGGACCAAGGAACACCAGAGGAUACAAUGUUAAGUUCCAAUAUUAUUGACCUCACCAUUAAGGUGACACAAAACAAGAGACCUGAAGAAAAGAAUGAAGGCAAAAAGCAAAGGGAGCAAGAGGACUCUUUCGAGGAGGACAUGUCUCAAAACCACCACCCACAACAACAACAAAACGAGCACGAAAAAAAUGAUGUGGCUGAGCUCAACAAAGUAGCAUGUGAAGAUAUAUUUUCAAAUAAUUUUGAUCGUAUUUUAUAUGAUAGUUAUGCAAAUCAUGGCUCGAAACUGUGGAUAGGAAAUAAAAAAGAUGGACAUUAUCAAAUCAGGC